CGUCUCAUGGCGUAGUGGUUAACGCGCCCCAACUAGAGAUCGGGGAGUAGUGAGUUCGAUUCUCACUGAGAAGA
Molecule: non-coding RNA, 74 nt
Organism: Aedes aegypti (yellow fever mosquito)
Lineage: Eukaryota; Metazoa; Arthropoda; Insecta; Diptera; Culicidae
Source: Rfam